Molecule: ribosomal RNA, 300 nt
Filed under: uncultured Lactobacillus sp.
Lineage: Bacteria; Bacillati; Bacillota; Bacilli; Lactobacillales; Lactobacillaceae
Description: bacterial SSU rRNA
Rfam family: Bacterial small subunit ribosomal RNA
Source: RNAcentral
GGUAACUACGUGCGAUCAGCGGGGGUAAGACGUAGGUGGCAAGCGUUGUCCGGAUUGAUUGGGCGGAAAGCGAGCGCAGGCGGUGAAUUAAGUAAGAUGUGAAAGCCCCGAGCUUAACUUGUGAAUUGCAUCUGAAACUGGUUGGCUAGAGUCUUGUAGAGGGGGGUAGAAUUCCAUGUGUAGCGGUGAAAUGCGUAGAGAUGUGGAGGAAUACCGGUGGCGAAGGCGGCCCCCUGGACAAAGACUGACGCUCAGAUGCGAAAGCGUGGGGAGCAAACAGGAUUAGAUACCCGAGUAGUC